Molecule: ribosomal RNA, 297 nt
Filed under: uncultured bacterium
Lineage: Bacteria
Description: partial 16S ribosomal RNA
Rfam family: Bacterial small subunit ribosomal RNA
Source: RNAcentral
GUUCCUACGGGACGCAGCAGUGGGGAAUAUUGCACAAUGGGGGGAACCCUGAUGCAGCGACGCCGCGUGAGUGAAGAAGUAUUUCGGUAUGUAAAGCUCUAUCAGCAGGGAAGAAAAUGACGGUACCUGACUAAGAAGCCCCGGCUAACUACGUGCCAGCAGCCGCGGUAAUACGUAGGGGGCAAGCGUUAUCCGGAUUUACUGGGUGUAAAGGGAGCGUAGACGGUUAUGCAAGGCGGAAGUGAAAGCCCAAGGCUCAACCAUGGGACUGCGUUGGAAACUGUAAAACUGGAUGUC